AGAGUUUGAUGGUGGCUCAGAUUGAACGCUGGCGGCAGGCCUAACACAUGCAAGUCGAACGGUAACAUGAAGUGCUUGCACUUUGAUGACGAGUGGCGGACGGGUGAGUAAUACUUAGGGAUCUGCCCUUUGGCGGGGGAUAACCAUUGGAAACGAUGGCUAAUACCGCAUAUUACCUACGGGUAAAAGGGGGGAAGCUUGCUUCCUCUCGCCAGAGGAUGAGCCUAAGCGAGAUUAGCUAGUUGGUGGGGUAAAGGCUCACCAAGGCGACGAUCUCUAGCUGUUCUGAGAGGAAGAUCAGCCACACUGGGACUGAGACACGGCCCAGACUCCUACGGGAGGCAGCAGUGGGGAAUAUUGCGCAAUGGGGGGAACCCUGACGCAGCCAUGCCGCGUGUGUGAAGAAGGCCUUCGGGUUGUAAAGCACUUUCAGUGGUGAGGAAGGCAUAUUAGCUAAUACCUAAUAUGAUUGACGUUAACCACAGAAGAAGCACCGGCUAACUCCGUGCCAGCAGCCGCGGUAAUACGGAGGGUGCGAGCGUUAAUCGGAAUUACUGGGCGUAAAGCGCACGCAGGUGGUCAAUUAAGCCAGAAGUGAAAGCCCCGCGCUCAACGUGGGAAGGCCUUUUGGAACUGGUUGACUAGAGUCUUGGAGAGGGGAGUGGAAUUUCUGGUGUAGCGGUGAAAUGCGUAGAUAUCAGAAGGAACAUCAGUGGCGAAGGCGACUCUCUGGCCAAAGACUGACACUCAUGUGCGAAAGUGUGGGUAGCGAACAGGAUUAGAUACCCUGNUAGUCCACACCGUAAACGCUGUCUAUUAGCUGUGUGUGACUAUAAGUUGUGCGUAGCGAAGCUAACGCGAUAAAUAGACCGCCUGGGGAGUAC
RNAcentral lists this ribosomal RNA (884 nucleotides) under uncultured Gammaproteobacteria bacterium. RNAcentral describes it as "bacterial SSU rRNA". It matches the Rfam family "Bacterial small subunit ribosomal RNA", at positions 8 to 883 of the family's 1533-position model. The record is from RNAcentral. Lineage: Bacteria; Pseudomonadati; Pseudomonadota; Gammaproteobacteria.